This is a small nuclear RNA of Mesocricetus auratus (golden hamster), 106 nucleotides long. The record is from Ensembl. NCBI's taxonomy places the organism in Eukaryota, Metazoa, Chordata, Mammalia, Rodentia, Cricetidae.
GUGCCUGUGACUGCUUGCACAUUUAUUGAAAUUGGAACAAUAAUAAGAAGAUUACCAUGCCCUGGGCAAAGAUGACAUGAAGAUCAAUGAACUGGUCCUUAUUUUU